RNAcentral lists this ribosomal RNA (480 nucleotides) under uncultured bacterium. Its description in RNAcentral is "partial 16S ribosomal RNA". It matches the Rfam family "Bacterial small subunit ribosomal RNA", at positions 28 to 507 of the family's 1533-position model. The record is from RNAcentral.
GACGAACGCUGGCGGCGUGCUUAACACAUGCAAGUCGAACGAUGAAGAAAAGAAUUGAAGCUUCGGCAGAAAUUCAUUUCGGAUUAGUGGCGGACGGGUGAGUAACGCGUGAGCAACCUACCUCUUACAAAGGGAUAGCCUCGGGAAACCGGGAUUAAUACCAUAUAACAUUGCGACGAAGCAUUUCGAUGCAAUCAAAGCUACGGCGGUAAGAGAUGGGCUCGCGUCCCAUUAACCAGAUGGUGAGGUAACGGCUCACCAUAGUAACGAUGGGUAACCGGCCUGAGAGGGUGAACGGUCACACUGGAACUGAGACACGGUCCAGACUCCUACGGGAGGCAGCAGAGGGGAAUAUUGCACAAUGGAGGGAACUCUGAUGCAGCGGCGCCGCGUGAGUGAGGAAGGAAUUCGUUUCGUAAAACUCUGUUCUAUGGGAAGAAAAGGACUGUACCAUAGGAGAAAGCUCCGGCUAAAUACGUG